RNAcentral lists this long non-coding RNA (202 nucleotides) under Elaeis guineensis (African oil palm). RNAcentral's name for it is "long non-coding RNA (EGUI_LNC002031)". The record is from RNAcentral. Lineage: Eukaryota; Viridiplantae; Streptophyta; Magnoliopsida; Arecales; Arecaceae.
UUUGGGAUACUUUAUUCUUUAUCUAGUUAAAGCUCUGUUGGGUUAUAAUGGGCACCAAGUAACUUUCAAAAUUUUAUAGCUAAGUUGAAAACUAAUCAUUCUUAUAUUUUAAUCUCAUUCUUUCGGGUUGAUUUAUGUUGUAGACUUAUGAAACUAGUGUAUCUUGAUUGGUUGUCAUUCCUUUCUUCAUUCAAUCAACCUA